GACGAACGCUGGCGGCGUGCUUAACACAUGCAAGUCGAACGGAAAGGCCCUGCUUUUGUGGGGUGCUCGAGUGGCGAACGGGUGAGUAACACGUGAGUAACCUGCCCUUGACUUUGGGAUAACUUCAGGAAACUGGGGCUAAUACCGGAUAGGAGCUCCUGCUGCAUGGUGGGGGUUGGAAAGUUUCGGCGGUUGGGGAUGGACUCGCGGCUUAUCAGCUUGUUGGUGGGGUAGUGGCUUACCAAGGCUUUGACGGGUAGCCGGCCUGAGAGGGUGACCGGCCACAUUGGGACUGAGAUACGGCCCAGACUCCUACGGGAGGCAGCAGUGGGGAAUAUUGCACAAUGGACGGAAGCCUGAUGCAGCAACGCCGCGUGCGGGAUGAAGGCCUUCGGGUUGUAAACCGCUUUCGCCUGUGACGAAGCGUGAGUGACGGUAAUGGGUAAAGAAGCACCGGCUAACUACGUG
RNAcentral lists this ribosomal RNA (468 nucleotides) under uncultured bacterium. RNAcentral's name for it is "partial 16S ribosomal RNA". It matches the Rfam family "Bacterial small subunit ribosomal RNA", at positions 28 to 507 of the family's 1533-position model. The record is from RNAcentral.